CAUAUCGGUAGGCUGCACGCAUUCCGUGAGUCAGCCUCCCUCUCACUGCUAGGAUAACUUUUAGAGAUGUCCAACUCUCCAGAAUCGCCAUUAACCAGAGUCAAACCUUUGGGGAAUGACCAAAGUUUAUAUCCUAACUUCCAAGACUGUUCUAGAAAUUAGAUCUCCCUCCAUGAGCCAGAGAAUUGAGUAACAUUUGCUGAGGAGGCAUGUGGCCAGGGUCACGAUCAACAAAGAGGGUCACAGAUACGUAUGGAAGGAAGGAUGAUGAUCUCAUUCUUUUUCUUGAAGUGCAGUGUUUUUGAAAGAGGCAGCCCACGGAAUGGGAGAAGAUAUUUGCAAAUGACACUACAGAUAAAAGACUGGUACCCAAGAUCUACAAAGAACUUCUCAAACUCAAUACAUGAGAAACAAAUAAUCAAAUCAAAAAAUGGGCAGAAGA
This 442-nucleotide long non-coding RNA is filed under the name Ursus maritimus (polar bear). RNAcentral describes it as "lncRNA (ENSUMAG00000003285.1)". Lineage: Eukaryota; Metazoa; Chordata; Mammalia; Carnivora; Ursidae. The record is from RNAcentral.